Molecule: transfer RNA, 82 nt
Filed under: Daphnia pulex (common water flea)
Lineage: Eukaryota; Metazoa; Arthropoda; Branchiopoda; Diplostraca; Daphniidae
Rfam family: tRNA
About the family: Transfer RNA (tRNA) molecules are approximately 80 nucleotides in length. Their secondary structure includes four short double-helical elements and three loops (D, anti-codon, and T loops).
Source: Rfam by way of RNAcentral
GCAGAUGUGGCCUACUGGUUAAAGUGACUGACUUGAAAUCAGUUUUCAUCUGGGAGCUUAGGAUCGCAUCCUACCAUCUGCG